Molecule: unclassified non-coding RNA, 265 nt
Filed under: uncultured Hypocreales
Lineage: Eukaryota; Fungi; Ascomycota; Sordariomycetes; Hypocreales
Description: sequence contains 5.8S rRNA gene, ITS2, 28S rRNA gene
Rfam family: 5.8S ribosomal RNA (bases 1-52)
Source: RNAcentral
AACGCACAUUGCGCCCGCCAGUAUUCUGGCGGGCAUGCCUGUCCGAGCGUCAUUUCAACCCUCGAACCCCUCCGGGGGGUCGGCGUUGGGGAUCGGCCCUGCCUUGGCGGUGGCCGUCUCCGAAAUACAGUGGCGGUCUCGCCGCAGCCUCUCCUGCGCAGUAGUUUGCACACUCGCAUCGGGAGCGCGGCGCGUCCACAGCCGUUAAACACCCAACUUCUGAAAUGUUGACCUCGGAUCAGGUAGGAAUACCCGCUGAACUUAA